UACGUAGGGGGCAAGCGUUAUCCGGGUUUACUGGGUGUAAAGGGAGCGUAGACGGCAGCACAAGUCUGAAGUGAAAUGCCGGGGCUUAACCCCGGAACUGCUUUGGAAACUGUGCAGCUAGAGUGCAGGAGAGGUAAGUGGAAUUCCUAGUGUAGCGGUGAAAUGCGUAGAUAUUAGGAGGAACACCAGUGGCGAAGGCGGCUUACUGGACUGUAACUGACGUUGAGGCUCGAAAGCGUGGGGAGUAAACAGG
Molecule: ribosomal RNA, 253 nt
Filed under: uncultured bacterium
Lineage: Bacteria
Description: partial 16S ribosomal RNA
Rfam family: Bacterial small subunit ribosomal RNA
Source: RNAcentral